UGUGCCGCCCGCGACCCGGACCCAGGCGGCCGCCGGAGACCCACAAAUUUCUGUUUCUAUCAGUCUUUCUGAAUCCGCCGCAAGGCAAAACAAAUGAAUCAAAACUUUCAACAACGGAUCUCUUGGUUCUGGCAUCGAUGAAGAACGCAGCGAAAUGCGAUAAGUAAUGUGAAUUGCAGAAUUNCAGUGAAUCAUCGAAUCUUUGAACGCACAUUGCGCCCGCCAGCAUUCUGGCGGGCAUGCCUGUUCGAGCGUCAUUUCAACCCUCGACACCCCUUCGGGGGAGUCGGCGUUGGGGACCGGCAGCAUACCGCCGGACCCGAAAUACAGUGGCGGCCCGUCCGCGGCGACCUCUGCGUAGUACUCCAACGCGCACCAAAAACCCGACGCGGCCACGCCGUAAACACCCAANUUUUGAACGUUGACCUCGGAUCAGGUAGGACUACCCGCUAAA
This 454-nucleotide ribosomal RNA is filed under the name Cordyceps fumosorosea. RNAcentral describes it as "eukaryotic LSU rRNA". The stretch from base 103 to 257 matches the Rfam family "5.8S ribosomal RNA". Lineage: Eukaryota; Fungi; Ascomycota; Sordariomycetes; Hypocreales; Cordycipitaceae. The record is from RNAcentral.